RNAcentral lists this ribosomal RNA (254 nucleotides) under uncultured bacterium. RNAcentral's name for it is "partial 16S ribosomal RNA". It matches the Rfam family "Bacterial small subunit ribosomal RNA", at positions 524 to 776 of the family's 1533-position model. The record is from RNAcentral.
UACAGAGGGGGGCAAGCGUUAUUCGGAAUUAUUGGGCGUAAAGGGCGCGUAGGCGGCUUGGCAAGUGGAUGGUGAAAUCCCUCGGCUUAACCGAGGAACUGCCGUCCAAACUGCUUCGCUUGAGACCGGGAGAGGUGAGUGGAAUUCCCAGUGUAGCGGUGAAAUGCGUAGAUAUUGGGAGGAACACCAGUGGCGAAGGCGGCUCACUGGACCGGUACUGACGCUGAUGCGCGAAAGCGUGGGGAGCAAACGGG